RNAcentral lists this ribosomal RNA (1233 nucleotides) under Fuscidea lygaea. Its description in RNAcentral is "eukaryotic LSU rRNA". It matches the Rfam family "Eukaryotic large subunit ribosomal RNA", at positions 103 to 1357 of the family's 3401-position model. Lineage: Eukaryota; Fungi; Ascomycota; Lecanoromycetes; Umbilicariales; Fuscideaceae. The record is from RNAcentral.
AACAGCUCAAAUUUGAAAUCUGGCCCCUCCCGGGUCCGAGUUGUAAUUUGUAGAGGACGCCCCGGGUGCGGCCGCGGUCUAAGUUCCUUGGAACAGGACGUCAUAGAGGGUGAGAAUCCCGUACGUGACCGAUGGUCAAGCCCGUGUGGGGCUCCUUCGACGAGUCGAGUUGUUUGGGAAUGCAGCUCUAAAUGGGUGGUAAAUUUCAUCUAAAGCUAAACAGUGGCCGGAGACCGAUAGUGCACAAGUAGAGUGAUCGAAAGAUGAAAAGCACUUUGGAAAGAGAGUUAAAAAGUACGUGAAAUUGUUGAAAGGGAAGCGCUGGCAACCAGACUUGCUUCCCGGUGAUCAGCCGCUAUUCUUAACGGUGGACGCACCGGGAGACAGGCCAGCAUCGGUCUUGGUGGCCGGAGAACCCCCCCGGAAUGUAGCUCCCCUCGGGGAGUGUUAUAGCCGGGAGGACCAUGCGGCCCACCGGGACCGAGGAUCGCGCUUUGGCCCGGAUGCUGGCGUAAUGGUUGUCAGCGGCCCGUCUUGAAACACGGACCAAGGAGUCUUCCCUACACGCGAGUGUUUGGGUGUCAAACCCACACGCGGAAUGAAAGUGAACGGAGGUGGGAACCCUUUAGGGUGCACCAUCGACCGAUCCAGAUGUCUUCGGAUGGAUUUGAGUAAGAGCGUGCCGGGAGGGACCCGAAAGAUAGUGAACUAUACUUGAAUAGGGUGAAGCCAGAGGAAACUCUGGUGGAGGCUCGCAGCGGUUCUGACGUGCAAAUCGAUCGUCGAAUUUGAGUAUAGGGGCGAAAGACUAAUCGAACUAUCUAGUAGCUGGUUCACGUCGAAGUUUCCCUCAGGAUAGCAGUAACGUUUUCAGUUUUAUGAGGUAAAGCGAAUGAUUAGAGGCCUUGGGGCUGAAACAGCCUUAACCUAUUCUCAAACUUUAAAUAUGUAAGAAGUCCUUGUUACUUAGUUGAACGUGGACAUUUGAAUGCACCGUUACUAGUGGGCCAUUUUUGGUAAGCAGAACUGGCGAUGCGGGAUGAACCGAACGUGAGGUUAAGGUGCCGGAAUUCACGCUCAUCAGAUACCACAAAAGGUGUUAAUUCAUCCAGACAGCCGGACGGUGGCCACGGAAGUCGGAAUCCGCUAAGGAGUGUGUAACAACUCACCGGCCGAAUGAAUUAGCCCUGAAAAUGGAUGGCGCUCAAGCGUGAUACCUAUACCUCACCGCCA